This 496-nucleotide ribosomal RNA is filed under the name uncultured Gammaproteobacteria bacterium. RNAcentral describes it as "bacterial SSU rRNA". It matches the Rfam family "Bacterial small subunit ribosomal RNA", at positions 324 to 812 of the family's 1533-position model. The record is from RNAcentral. Lineage: Bacteria; Pseudomonadati; Pseudomonadota; Gammaproteobacteria.
ACACGGUCCAGACUCCUACGGGAGGCAGCAGUGGGGAAUAUUGGACAAUGGGCGAAAGCCUGAUCCAGCCAUGCCGCGUGUGUGAAGAAGGUCUUCGGAUUGUAAAGCACUUUAAGUUGGGAGGAAGGGCCGUUACCUAAUACGUGAUGGUUUUGACGUUACCGACAGAAUAAGCACCGGCUAACUCUGUGCCAGCAGCCGCGGUAAUACAGAGGGUGCAAGCGUUAAUCGGAAUUACUGGGCGUAAAGCGCGCGUAGGUGGUUCGUUAAGUUGGAUGUGAAAUCCCCGGGCUCAACCUGGGAACUGCAUUCAAAACUGUCGAGCUAGAGUAUGGUAGAGGGUGGUGGAAUUUCCUGUGUANCGGUGAAAUGCGUANAUAUAGGAAGGAACACCAGUGGCGAAGGCGACCACCUGGACUGAUACUGACACUGAAGUGCGAAAGCGUGGGGAGCAAACAGGAUUAGAUACCCUGGUAGUCCACGCCGUAAACGAUGU